Molecule: small RNA, 29 nt
Filed under: Bombyx mori (domestic silkworm)
Lineage: Eukaryota; Metazoa; Arthropoda; Insecta; Lepidoptera; Bombycidae
Description: ovarian small RNA-12974
Source: RNAcentral
CACCUCAGCCGGGGCAUCACCGCUCACGC